This 47-nucleotide non-coding RNA is filed under the name Staphylococcus saprophyticus. RNAcentral describes it as "PreQ1-I sequence". It matches the Rfam family "PreQ1 (pre queuosine) riboswitch aptamer". Rfam says of the family: This family is a bacterial riboswitch that binds to the metabolite preQ1, an intermediate in the biosynthesis of the modified nucleoside queuosine from GTP. One example of this riboswitch is located in the leader of the Bacillus subtilis ykvJKLM (queCDEF) operon which encodes four genes necessary for queuosine production. The record is from RNAcentral. RNAcentral also lists the same sequence under 1 other name. Lineage: Bacteria; Bacillati; Bacillota; Bacilli; Caryophanales; Staphylococcaceae.
UAUAAAGAGGUUCCUAGCUGAUACCCUCUAUAAAAAACUAGACACAU